CAGGAUGAACGCUAGCUACAGGCUUAACACAUGCAAGUCGAGGGGCAUCGGGAGUUAGCUUGCUAACGUUGCCGGCGACCGGCGCACGGGUGAGUAACGCGUAUCCAACCUUCCCUAUAGUAGAGGAUAGCCCGGAGAAAUUCGGAUUAAUACUCUAUGUUCUUCCAUGCGGACAUCUAAUUGGAAGCAAAGGUUCACCGCUAUAGGAUGGGGAUGCGUCUGAUUAGGUUGUUGGCGGGGUAACGGCCCACCAAGCCUACGAUCAGUAGGGGUUCUGAGAGGAAGGUCCCCCACAUUGGAACUGAGACACGGUCCAAACUCCUACGGGAGGCAGCAGUGAGGAAUAUUGGUCAAUGGGCGCGAGCCUGAACCAGCCAAGUAGCCGUGCAGGAUGACGGCCCUAUGGGUUGUAAACUGCUUUUAUACGGGGAUAAAGUGUACCACGUGUGGUGUUUUGUAGGUACCGUAUGAAUAAGGACCGGCUAAUUCCGUGCCAGCAGCCGC
RNAcentral lists this ribosomal RNA (504 nucleotides) under uncultured bacterium. RNAcentral describes it as "bacterial SSU rRNA". It matches the Rfam family "Bacterial small subunit ribosomal RNA", at positions 25 to 518 of the family's 1533-position model. The record is from RNAcentral.